UCUUUCCAGUCGUUUAACUCUAAUUUCUCCCUUAUUUCCAGUCCGAGCUUUGAACCUUCGAGUCGAAAUCUUCCAUCCACAUGCUUCUCCGAGCUUCUAUUAACGGUUAAUACCUACUUCUUCUUCCGACAAGCUAGCUUGUCCGAGGCUCCGAGCUUCCAUCCACCUUCUUCAGGUGACAGAGUGGCAGGUACCUUCUCGGGUCUCGCGGCUACUCCGAGCUUCGACCGGGGGAAGGGCAGAUAGAUUGAAUCGACUGAGUCGAUUAUGCUCCCAGAAUUUCGAUUUCUAUACUGCCUUAGCAAGCUGAGAGGCGAGGUGGAUCAGCGAGGUGGGUCUUCGGGUCAACAGGCUCCAUCGGGUUCGUUGGAGGAGUCAGUGGUCAUUGGGGCCGCAAGCCGUGGGAUUCCGCUGCCGCUGACUACCCCCCUGCUACUCCUCCUGCUCCAUUCUUUGUAUUCAACAGAUCUGUGUUAGUUUAUCGCCACUCUCAUUUGAUGCAGGCAUGCUCAAUCAUGAUAACUGGCUUUUUAUUCCUAUAUUUGUCUCCAUUCUUUUUCCAUGUGAAUGGAAUGAUUUUGUGUUUCAGGGAGAAGAUGAUCCAGCUAUUUCUCUGAUCUUGCAGAUAAAUGCAUUCAAUCAAUACACAGUUUGAAAAAUCCUUCUGUUGUCUUGACAUCUUAAGCUUCGUUUGACAGAAUAAUAUUCUGACUCCACCCACAAGUUUGCUCCAUUCUCUGUUUUCUAUACCUGGAAGAGCAAUCUUACUGUAUCAUACUGUCUGCCCAGCGUUUUCUUUUGGCUUGGAGUUUGAAAUCAUGGAUGUUAAUAUGUUAACAUAUCAGAAUUCAAUUUACAUCUUUUUUUUGUCCCAGUGUAUAAAUUUGUUACAGUCUAAGCGCACUGUUAUUAAUCCAAAGUUUUUGUACUAUCUAAGGCCACUAUCUUAAUUGAAUUAUGAUUUGGACCUUGAA
Punica granatum (pomegranate) is the source of this 974-nucleotide non-coding RNA. NCBI's taxonomy places the organism in Eukaryota, Viridiplantae, Streptophyta, Magnoliopsida, Myrtales, Lythraceae. The record is from RefSeq and is a predicted model, not a curated record.